This 487-nucleotide ribosomal RNA is filed under the name Granulicatella adiacens. Its description in RNAcentral is "bacterial SSU rRNA". It matches the Rfam family "Bacterial small subunit ribosomal RNA", at positions 28 to 497 of the family's 1533-position model. The record is from RNAcentral. Lineage: Bacteria; Bacillati; Bacillota; Bacilli; Lactobacillales; Carnobacteriaceae.
GACGAACGCUGCGGCGUGCCUAAUACAUGCAAGUCGAACGAGAGCGACCGGUGCUUGCACUGGUCAAUCUAGUGGCGAACGGGUGAGUAACACGUGGGUAACCUGCCCAUCAGAGGGGGAUAACAUCCGGAAACGGAUGCUAAAACCGCAUAGGUCUUCGAGCCGCAUGGCUUGAAGAGGAAAAGAGGCGCAAGCUUCUGCUGAUGGAUGGACCCGCGGUGCAUUAGCUAGUUGGUGAGGUAACGGCUCACCAAGGCCGUGAUGCAUAGCCGACCUGAGAGGGUGAUCGGCCACAUUGGGACUGAGACACGGCCCAAACUCCUACGGGAGGCAGCAGUAGGGAAUCUUCCGCAAUGGACGCAAGUCUGACGGAGCAACGCCGCGUGAGUGAAGAAGGUUUUCGGAUCGUAAAACUCUGUUGUUAGAGAAGAACAAGUGCUAGAGUAACUGUUAGCGCCUUGACGGUAUCUAACCAGAAAGCCACGGC